GUGUUUGUUUUUAUUGUUGUUGUUUUGUUGGUUUGGGGUUUCUUUGUUUCUUUGGUUUGGGUUGGGUUUUUUGUUUAAUGGGUUGUUUUUUUCCCCUUGCUAAAUAGUUCCCAUAGUAUAGCAGCACUACCAUAAUGGCUACUGAGGAAAAGACUAGAAGACUUCAUGAGCUGUCUGACUGACUGAUAGUACACAUGAUGGAAAACAGAAGAGAAUUGUUAAUCUUGGCACAUGCAUGAGCUUGGACCUUAGGAAAAACAGAAUAUGCAAUAGUGUAAGUUGAACCAGGAUCAUCGUUAUGCUCGUUCAAGAGAAAGCUUCCCUCUUCCUCUAACUACAGAAGACAGUUAAUGUCCAUUUGGCUUUCCUACUUCCUCUGCAGGUGAUCGAGUUCAUGCUGCACUGUAGUAAUCCAGGUGAUUGUGUAAUUCUGUGUGAAACAACAACAACAAAACCUGAAGUGCAGCAUUAGCACAUCUCUUCAUUCACUGGGUGCUACUUCACCACUCAGAAACAACCCUUUAAACUCCUUCCAGCUCCCCUGCUUUCCUGCCUGACUGAUGCCUGCCCAGCCAGCACGUAGCUCAUGAGGGGUGGAGAGCAUACUUGUGCUCAGCCUAACAGCUCAUUAAAUCCUGGCUGUCUUCUCUGGGGGCUGGCCAGUACAUACCUGCUGGGUGCAUGUUAAGUUGUACAUAUCCUUCAUUUAAGGCCUCUUUGUGCAUAGCCAGGGAGACCUUAAAAAAACCCUGAUACACCCCCCAAAAGGAGCAAUAACAUAUCUGACCAUAGCUAAAUAAUGUAAUGUCAACCCUAUUCAUAUUUUUAUUUUGUAGAUAUUUAUUUCAAGAUAGGUCAAAUAAUACACCAUAGUAUAAUAUACACUCUUAGAUUGUACAUACAUGAGAAAGGGACAUUUCUUUUUCCUAGGCUAGCCUCAUAUUUGACAACAGGCUUCCAUUAAUGCAUUGAGAAAAUUAGCAGAUACCACUACUGGGAAGGGUGUUUUCCCUUUUUCUUUUUUCUUUUUUUAAUCCCUCUCUGACCUUCCUAAGAAACUUGCAGUUGCACAAGUUCAGGUACAACCACUUCAAAAGCCUCAGGCACAUUUUGUCUUCCAAUUUCAUUACCUCUGUAUAUGAAUUUGGGGAUGAUGGGAACAAUAUAGAACUGAACAGUUCAUUAAUCAUUAUUAUAUCAUACUUAUCAUUAAUCAUACUGAACAGAAGGAGAUUUGUUACGAGAAGGUACAAACAUGAAGCAGAAAAAAUCAAAUGCUCAGACUCAAACAUUUCUGCAGGCUUUUUGAGACAAAUGGGCUCAAGGAAUUCUAUACCUCAGAGCA
Neopelma chrysocephalum (saffron-crested tyrant-manakin) is the source of this 1345-nucleotide long non-coding RNA. RefSeq lists it as uncharacterized. NCBI's taxonomy places the organism in Eukaryota, Metazoa, Chordata, Aves, Passeriformes, Pipridae. The transcript is spliced from 3 exons. The record is from RefSeq and is a predicted model, not a curated record.